GCACUUUAAAGAGGAUCCAUUGAUUGUGACCUCCACUGUUUCUUUCAUUAUAAAUGAAUCAGCUGUCAUUCAUAUUAUCAGUCUCCUAGUCAUCCUUGUCAUCCGUGUGACAUCUGUGUGAAGGUUCGUCCAAUAUGAACUCUUAUACCAUUUUUGGAAAACAGAACUCUAUCACUACUACUUGUACUACCUUGAGAGACAGCUGGGAAAUCAUCUGGAUUUUCUUUUUCUAGCAAGGCUGUAAAAUGCAGUAGUAGUUAAGAUCCUA
Molecule: long non-coding RNA, 268 nt
Organism: Equus quagga
Lineage: Eukaryota; Metazoa; Chordata; Mammalia; Perissodactyla; Equidae
Exons: 2
Source: RefSeq, a predicted model, not a curated record